Molecule: ribosomal RNA, 380 nt
Filed under: uncultured Gammaproteobacteria bacterium
Lineage: Bacteria; Pseudomonadati; Pseudomonadota; Gammaproteobacteria
Description: bacterial SSU rRNA
Rfam family: Bacterial small subunit ribosomal RNA
Source: RNAcentral
UAAUACGGAGGGAGCGAGCGUUAAUCGGAAUUACUGGGCGUAAAGCGCGCGUAGGCGGCUUUGUAAGUCGGAUGUGAAAGCCCUGGGCUCAACCUGGGAAUGGCAUUCGAAACUGCAUGGCUAGAGUAUGGUAGAGGGAAGUGGAAUUUCCGGUGUAGCGGUGAAAUGCGUAGAUAUCGGAAGGAACACCAGUGGCGAAGGCGACUUCCUGGGCCAAUACUGACGCUGAGGCGCGAAAGCGUGGGUAGCAAACAGGAUUAGAUACCCUGGUAGUCCACGCCGUAAACGAUGAGAACUCAGUGAUGCAUUGACUUGUGGUCAAUGCAGUGCUGCAGGGAAGCCGUUAAGUUUGCCGCCUGGGAAGUACGUACGCAAGUAUG